RNAcentral lists this ribosomal RNA (616 nucleotides) under uncultured bacterium. RNAcentral's name for it is "bacterial SSU rRNA". It matches the Rfam family "Bacterial small subunit ribosomal RNA", at positions 8 to 596 of the family's 1533-position model. The record is from RNAcentral.
AGAGUUUGAUCAUGGCUCAGAAUGAACGCUGGCGGCGUGCUUAACACAUGCAAGUCGAACGAGAACACCAUAGCUUGCUAUGGUAAGUAAAGUGGCGAACGGGUGAGUAACGCGUGGGUAAUCUGCCCUUGAAUUUGGGAUAACAUUGCGAAAGCGAUGCUAAUACCGAAUGAAGUCUUGAACACAUAAGUGAAUGAGAUGAAAGGUGGCCUCUUCAAGAAAGCUACUGUUUGAGGAUGAGCCCGCGUACCAUUAGUUAGUUGGUGGGGUAAAGGCCUACCAAGGCAGCGAUGGUUAGCUGGUCUGAGAGGAUGAUCAGCCACACUGGAACUGACACACGGUCCAGACUCCUACGGGAGGCAGCAGUGAGGAAUUUUGCGCAAUGGGGGAAACCCUGACGCAGCAACGCCGCGUGAGUGAUGAAGGCUUUCGGGUCGUAAAGCUCUGUCAAAUGGGAAGAACAUCUAAUAGUUUAAUAAGUUAUUAGACUGACGGUACCAUUAAAGGAAGCACCGGCUAACUCCGUGCCAGCAGCCGCGGUAAUACGGAGGGUGCAAGCGUUAUUCGGAAUUAUUGGGCGUAAAGAGCGCGUAGGCGGUUUGAUAAGUCAGAUGUG